GAGCUUAUAGAACCUUGGGAACCAGGAACCCUUUAGGACCCUGUGAACUACAAGUCUGCUAUUUUAGGAAGUGGAUAAAAUGGCAUUUUGACAGAUCUGGAGGGUCUUGGAUCUACCUUUCAACAUUGGCAUUACUGAUAUUAGAGUACCACCACUCACUAGCUGUGGAGAUGUAGGAAGAUUACUUAACCACUCAGAGCCUUGGUUUCCUCAUUUGUUAUGUGAAGAUGACAAUAUCAGAUGACAGUGAGAUCUGAGAUGAAUUUAACUGCCUUCAGUAGUGCUGGCCUGCUCCUGAGAGAGAGAUGAUUGAGAGGGAGGAAGUAGAGAGGAGGAAGAAGCCUUUACUCACACUCCUUGAGGAGUGAUUCAGGUGGACAGCCUGAAUUACGGGAUUUAUUGGCAGCAAGUGAUACCAGGACUGCAGAGAGAGGUUUUCAUCUAGAACCCGGAAAGGAAAAAGUUGAGCCAUUAUCCGGAACUGAAGGAUGAGCUAAUUGGAUGGGGAGGCUUAGGGGCAUGGACAACCAGCUUGGAGUCUGAGUCGUUAUCCCACUGAGCCAUCAGUCUCAGGACAAGAGCGAGUGCCUUCACCUCAUUCCCUUAAAGCCUGUAGUCUGACCCACAACAGAAAGAGAGUUUCUGUUCUGCCACAUCUCGCUAUGUGUACUCAGGCAAUUUACUUAUCCCCUCAAGGACUUAGUUUCCUAAUCUGCAAAAUGGGUGACAGAAGAAUGAUCAGGUUAUUGGUGUCCACUGGAAGUCACUCAAGCACAAACAGAUGAACGGACUGGGAGCGUGGAAAAGAGCUAUGUUUUUGCUUUCCCUGCAUCCACCCACUGCUUCAUCCAGAGCAUUUCUGUUUCCUAUAUGGAUUAUGUGUCUGCAUCCCAGGGUGAUAUUAGGUCUGAACAAAGGACUUCAAAGCUAAGAUGGAAAACCCACUGGCUUUGGCAAUCUCUAGGGUUGCUUCUACUUAUUUUCUGUUUCUGUUUGUCAUGAAGUCACAUGAGAGAAUGUUGUACUGAAGACAUGAUGGGAAAGGGGCCCAAAUAGAAAUUAAUCUAAAAAACGAGUGUGCCAAGAAUAGAAGGGUUUUGGGUGAGGGGACCCUCAGGUCUUGCUUAGAAGGUGGUAGUGGAAAAUUCCACACCUCACUGGAAGGGGCUGUUUCUUCCUGCCUCCUUCACAUUGAUCUCUCUCAAAUGUAAAACCGAUCCUUCCCACCUCAGAAUUGGGCCAAAUCUGGUUUGAAGCAUCCAUUUCUUGUGAAGAGUCUGUCCUGUGGUGUGUAAUUUAAUUUAUAAUAUAUUAUCAAAGACAGUAUAAUAAAAAUAGGUGCUGCUGGUUGCCCUAAUUGGGAUACACGUUAUAGGAAAUCGUUCACAGAGUUUAAUCAAAGAGCCACACUGCAAGGAAAGUUACUACAAGCAUCUAGCUGUCUUUAUCUACAAUUGACCCCAGAAGUUUAGACAUUAGCAUGUUUUUAUAAUUGGGUUUACAUUGAUAAAAUUGCUGGUAUUCAAAAUAUGUGGCUUGGCUAGAACUAUGAUAAAUGUUAUAGAAACCCUUCUGCACUUGUUUAAGGCAAAAUAAUGCAGGGCACUCAGUAGUCCAUAUUCUUCGCAGUGGUACCAAAGCUUGAUUCUGAAACUGUCCUUUGUCUAGCAACUGAUUCUGAGAUUGCUGGAUUAAUCCUCAAAGAUUAACAGAGGCUCACGCCUGUAAUCCCAGCACUUUGGGAGGCUGACGCGGGUGGAUUACCUGAGGUCAGGAGUUUGAAGCCAGCCUGGCCAACAUGGGGAAACCCCAUUUCUACUAAAAAUACAAAAAUUAGCUGGGUGUGGUGGUGGGUGCCUGUAAUCCCAGCUACUUGGGAGGCUGAGACAUGAGAAUCGCUUGAACCCGGGAGACGGCCCUUGCAGUGAGCCGAGAUUGUGCCACUGAACUCCAGCCUGGGUGAUAGAGUGAGACUCGGUCUCAAAAAAAAAAAAGAAAGAAAAGAAACAGAUUAACAGAAUCCCUACUUCCAGAACACUGUUACUUUUGCUUUAUGCAAAGACAUGGUCAGGAUAAUUAAGAGGGCAAAGAUUUGAGAUUUAUCCAGUUUAUAAGGCAGAUUGUAUGCCUUUUAAAAAUUCUAUUGCUAAUAAACACUUGUAUGAAUGGCAAACUUUGUUUUGCUUCCUGCUUCUGAUAGAACCUGGGAACAAAGUUUUAGAGGCAGAAACUUAUACCUUUUCUACUCAAUGGAUGGUGCAUGCAACCAUCAGCAGGGCCACUCUAGACCUACUGAAUUAACAAAUGUAACUAACAGGAUACCAGGCAAUUCAUAGCCAAGUUAAAGUUUGAGGAGUUCUGUUACAGACUUCAACUACUAACUCUAGACAGUUAUUGAUAUCUCUCUAAUAAUCCAAUAAUCAUCAAACACAAGAUUGGCUUACACUAAUUUUCAACAGAUAGCAAGAAGAAGAGCUUCCCAGGAUUUUAUGUUGUGAGCCAUCUGAAGGGAACUUGGAAGGAGGGUAAAAGAAAACCAAGCAAGAAAAUAAAGCUUAGCAGGAGCUGCAAACUCAGAUAACUACACAGACAAGGCCAGUUAGGAAAACAAAGUGAGAAUGACGGAAACUACCAGAACUGGAGAAUUCAUGCCUCUUCCCUAAACAACUACCAUUACUCCGCUCUGGAUUGAUGCUGCACAGAAUGUGGGCCUGAACUUAUGAUUUUGUUUCAGAAGCCCAGAAUAUAUAUUUUAAUGAAAAACUUCCCUUUUAUUCAAUGAGGCCCAAUAGUCUAAGUCUAAUUCUAUUAUCUAAAAACAACUGAACAAACUCAGUCACCAAGUUCUUCAAAGGGCCCACAGCAAGUCACUUCUUUCUGUAUUUCUAUUUGUAUAUUCCUUUCAUGGGCUAUUAUUAGAGAACAUGUAAUUUUCCAAAUUCAUUAGAAUAAUAAUUAUAUGCUUGGGAGACCUGAGCCAAAGACUCUGAGCCUGCAUUGCUGAUUUCAAUUGGAGAUGAUAUCCUUGGACAGCUGGCAACCUGCAGCUUGCCAAUGGGGCUUCAAUUUUUUGACAGGAAAUCUGAGAGCUUGAAGACCACACUACUUCAUGGCUAUCUGAACAGGUAGCUGCUAUAAGCUCUGCAAGUUGGCAAUAUACAAUUGAGAUCAGAGUUAGUGUGUUUGAUUAGUAGAGUGUUAUUUCUCUGGGGAGACACAGGGCAUUGGGUGGUGGAAGCUCUUAGAACCCCCAGGUAAACGUAAUGAGCUGCUUCCCUGUCAAUAUGCCCGACACUUGAAUUUUUUUCAAUGCAUUGUCUAAAGACUACCAGCAUUAGAAUUUCUUUAUCUUGUAAAACGCAGAAUCUCAGGUCUGAAUACAAAUCUACUAAGUAAAAAUCCUGGGAGUAAAUUUAUAAAAGAGCAUUUUAACAGAUACCCCAGAUGGUUGUUAUGUAUAUUAAAAUUGUUGAGCUAUAGCAUUUCCAUGAGACAAUGUUUGGUAGUAGCCAAUUGAUCCCCGUUUCUACCAAGGCUAGAAUGAAAAGAAAUGCACUUUCUCUGUUGCAAGAAUUGGAGUGUGGAGGAAGUGACAAUAGUAUUAGGAUGCUCCUAUGAUGUUAUUAUGCCAGGGAGCCAACACCCCUGAUUUAUGUCAGGUAUGUCUGGGCUAUAAGCCAGUUCUUUAGGGGGAAAGAAUGUUCUGACUUGUAUUUUCCUAUUUCAGUGGUGUAAAUACUCCUGCCGUGGUCAAUUUCAUGUUACCAAUGUGAUGUUUCUGAACACAAAGUUGGGAAGGGAUGGGCAGAAUGGGCUCUCAAGAGCCUGUGCCAGUUCGUUCCAGCUCAUCACAGAGGAGGCCCUCUCAAAGCAGACCCAGAAAUAGAUCUAAGUUCAGGGAACAAUGGCAAUGUUACAAAAAAGGAAUAAUUUUAACCAACUGGAAAUUUAUAUCAAAUCCCAGUGUCAUGUUUCAGAUGGCUAGGUUGAACUAGGCA
Molecule: long non-coding RNA, 3998 nt
Filed under: Homo sapiens (human)
Lineage: Eukaryota; Metazoa; Chordata; Mammalia; Primates; Hominidae
Description: HSALNT0142498
Source: RNAcentral